GUGAAUCAUCGAAUUUUUGAACGCAAAUUGCACUCUCUGGUAUUCCGUAGAGCAUGCCUGUUUGAGGGUCAGCUAAAAUAAAAAUCGGUGUGUUGUCUGCCUUUCCUGUUGACGCACCGGACGUGGGUCGACCUGCCUUCGGUUAAGUGACCUCACAUCUGCCACGAGCUCUUCGAACGUACUUAAACGAGUUU
Molecule: unclassified non-coding RNA, 194 nt
Filed under: Glomeraceae sp.
Lineage: Eukaryota; Fungi; Glomeromycota; Glomeromycetes; Glomerales; Glomeraceae
Description: partial contains 5.8S ribosomal RNA and internal transcribed spacer 2
Rfam family: 5.8S ribosomal RNA (bases 1-71)
Source: RNAcentral